RNAcentral lists this ribosomal RNA (519 nucleotides) under uncultured eukaryote. RNAcentral describes it as "SSU rRNA". It matches the Rfam family "Eukaryotic small subunit ribosomal RNA", at positions 1161 to 1699 of the family's 1831-position model. The record is from RNAcentral.
AGGGCACCACCAGGAGUGGAGCCUGCGGCUUAAUUUGACUCAACACGGGAAGACUCACCCGGCCCGGACACUGGGAGGAUUGACAGAUUGAGAGCUCUUUCUUGAUUCAGUGGGUGGUGGUGCAUGGCCGUUCUUAGUUGGUGGAGUGAUUUGUCUGGUUAAUUCCGAUAACGAACGAGACUCUAGCCUACUAAAUAGAUCGUCGGCUUACAAACGUCGGCGAGACUUCUUAGAGGGACAGGCGGUGAUUCAACCGCACGAAACAGAGCAAUAACAGGUCUGUGAUGCCCUUAGAUGUCCGGGGCCGCACGCGCGCUACACUGAAGUGAUCAGCGUGCUUUUUCAACCUACUCUGUCAAGAGUGGGGAACCCAAUGAACCUUCUUCGUGAUUGGGAUAGGGGAUUGUAAUUGUUCCCCUUGAACGAGGAAUUCCCAGUAAGCGCGAGUCAUAAGCUCGCGUUGAUUACGUCCCUGCCCUUUGUACACACCGCCCGUCGCUACUACCGAUUGAAUGUUUU